This 73-nucleotide transfer RNA is filed under the name Loxodonta africana (African savanna elephant). It matches the Rfam family "tRNA". From Rfam's summary of the family: Transfer RNA (tRNA) molecules are approximately 80 nucleotides in length. Their secondary structure includes four short double-helical elements and three loops (D, anti-codon, and T loops). Further hydrogen bonds mediate the characteristic L-shaped molecular structure. tRNAs have two regions of fundamental functional importance: the anti-codon, which is responsible for specific mRNA codon recognition, and the 3' end, to which the tRNAs corresponding amino acid is attached (by aminoacyl-tRNA synthetases). tRNAs cope with the degeneracy of the genetic code in two manners: having more than one tRNA (with a specific anti-codon) for a particular amino acid; and 'wobble' base-pairing, i.e. permitting non-standard base-pairing at the 3rd anti-codon position. The record is from Rfam by way of RNAcentral. Lineage: Eukaryota; Metazoa; Chordata; Mammalia; Proboscidea; Elephantidae.
GCAUUGGUGGUUCAGUGGUGGAAUUCUCAUCUUCCAUAUAGGGGAGACCUGGGUUCAAUUCCCGGCCAAUGCA